This 755-nucleotide long non-coding RNA is filed under the name Hordeum vulgare. Its description in RNAcentral is "long non-coding RNA (HVUL_LNC005737)". Lineage: Eukaryota; Viridiplantae; Streptophyta; Magnoliopsida; Poales; Poaceae. The record is from RNAcentral.
UUUACGACACUGGCCACGCAUGCCAAAGCAUUCACAAAGUUGGAUUUCAUGAAGUUCACGUGCUUCAACCCCCCGAUUGCCCCCAACAGAAAACGCAGUAAGUUUAUACAAUCUUUUUUUCAACUAAAGUCGGUGAAGAAGAAAAUUCACUACGUAUGAUGCCCUCUUCUAUAUUUUUGCCAGCUACGAUUGCGGAAUAUUCACAAUGCUCUUCAUGAAGCAAUGGGAUGGGAAGAUCAUGGCCAACUUUUCCAAGGUAUUACCCUCCUAAACCAAAUAGCUACUCAUGUGUUAAUUCAAUGCUUCUAUCAAUCAUAUUGGUUUUUGGCAUGUAACCAACUCUGCAAUUUUCUUCAGUGCACCCAACUACAAAUGUGCAUUCUUCAUUGUUCUAACCACCGUCCCGACUUCUACCGCAGGAUACAUACGGCCAUCGGGCGAUUAUCACCGAACUAAUCAUAACUUCGCAGCUCAACAACCAAGACCCUACCUGGGUACUGAAGACCAACUGAGGAACCGUCUUAGUCGCGAUCAAACAAAUAAUAUUCCUCGUAGAUAAUCACGCCGACGAGCAUUCAACAGAAUAAACGAUCGCGCUUCUGCGAACUAUGUGCUUCCAAGUUUCUUUUUUACUUCUAGCUAGUUGUUUUAUUACACAAUUCAACUUCGUUACCAACAGGUUCCCAUAUUUUUGUGUCCUCUAUCUGGUACUAUUUUGUACUCAAUCAUGAGUUUUCAAGCUGGAAGUAACAGAG